This 460-nucleotide ribosomal RNA is filed under the name uncultured bacterium. Its description in RNAcentral is "partial 16S ribosomal RNA". It matches the Rfam family "Bacterial small subunit ribosomal RNA", at positions 338 to 795 of the family's 1533-position model. The record is from RNAcentral.
CCUACGGGAGGCAGCAGUGAGGAAUAUUGGUCAAUGGACGCAAGUCUGAACCAGCCAUGCCGCGUGCAGGAAGACGGCUCUAUGAGUUGUAAACUGCUUUUGUACGAGGGUAAACGCAGAUACGCGUAUCUGUCUGCAAGUAUCGUACGAAUAAGGAUCGGCUAACUCCGUGCCAGCAGCCGCGGUAAUACGGAGGAUUCAAGCGUUAUCCGGAUUUAUUGGGUUUAAAGGGUGCGUAGGCGGUCGGAUAAGUUAGAGGUGAAAUCCCGAGGCUCAACUUCGGAAUUGCGUCUGAUACUGUUCGGCUAGAGAGUAGUUGCGGUAGGCGGAAUGUAUGGUGUAGCGGUGAAAUGCUUAGAGAUCAGACAGAACACCGAUUGCGAAGGCAGCUUACCAAGCUACUUCUGACGUUGAGGCACGAAAGCGUGGGGAGCAAACAGGAUUAGAUACCCUAGUAGUC